CCGUGGAUACAUCAAAUGAAGGUUGUUCCAUCAUUGUAAAUUAGUGUGUAAAUUUUCCAAAUAUCGAAUGCACAGCAACAAUUCGAGGUGAUCAGGGAAUUUCACGAUCUUGUUACCGCUCUAGUUAUCAGCUCAAAGAUCAACAUCGUGCGGAAAUCCUCACCAAAAAAGAGCCUUAUGUCUUUCCAAGGGUUGAUAGGUA
RNAcentral lists this long non-coding RNA (202 nucleotides) under Capsella rubella. RNAcentral describes it as "long non-coding RNA (CRUB_LNC001683)". Lineage: Eukaryota; Viridiplantae; Streptophyta; Magnoliopsida; Brassicales; Brassicaceae. The record is from RNAcentral.